AUGACGGGUGGCAGGGUAGCCCCGGGAGGGAAGAGGGGGUCCGGUCAGGCGCGGGCAGGGGAGGAGACAAUGGGCCAAGGGGACUUCAGGGAAGGAGGGGGAGCGGGAGGAAGAGGAGGAGGAAGGGGGAGGAAGAGAGGAGGAAGAGAGGAGGAAGGGAGAGGAGGAGGAAGGGGGAGGAAGGGGGGAGGAAAGGGGAGGAAGAGAGGAGGAAGGAGGAGGAAGGGGGAGGAAGAGGAGGAGGAAAGGGGAGGAAGGGAGAAAGAGGAGGAGGGAGAGAAGCAGCAGCAGCUCCCACGGUGGCUCGGGGGGAGGAGAGGAGGAGGAGGAGGAGGAGGAGGGAGGGGAGGAGGAAGAAGAGCAGCAGCAGUGUCAGUCCCCUGGUGGCGUGUCCCCCUCCCCGGGCGCCCCCGCGUCCCGCCCCUCCCCGGGCGCCUCCGCCCCCCACCCGCUGCCCCGGUGCCCCUCGGCCUCGCCGUGCGCGCCCCCUCCCCUCCUCCCCCUCCCCCUCCCCCUCCCCGCCCCCCCAUGGCCCGCUCGGGCCUCCGGCGGCGGCCCGGGCCCGACACGGACGGGGGGGCGGGGGACCCUCCCCGGGCCGCCCCCCGAAACCCGGACCCCCCGCCCCCGGGGCCGCACCGCCCGGAGGGCGGACGGACGGACGGGCGGGGGGAGGGGGCGGCAGACACGGGGGAGGGGGGGGAGGAGGAGGAGGAGACACCGAGGGGGGAGGAGGAGGAGGAGGAGGGAGCGGAGACGGAGGGAGGAGGAGGAGGGGGAGGAGAGACGGAGAGACGGAGGGAGGCGCGUCCACCUGGCUGUCCAGGCGCGUGGAGCGGCAGCGGUGACCGCAGUGGACGCCCGCGGCGGGAGAAGCGCCCCCUCGCCAGCCCCGGGCCUUGCUGCUUGUCAUUUGAACUUUCAACUGCGUCUGAACGGCCGAACUCAUCGGUGGGACGUCGGAUGGGCCCCGACCGGAUCUAAAGUACCAUAGCCAUCCCGGACCGGGGCAGCCCAGCUGAACGUUGGACUAUUCGCUUUAACUCCAAAUUACUGACUACGCCGUGGGUAGGGAACGUAGCCGUUAAAUCGUUGUACCGUCCUCUCCCAAGCGCUCUGCUCACAGUCUCGUCUUACGCCGUCGAGUCGUUCCCGACCCAUGGCGACACCGCGGACGCGACUCUCCCAGACCGCCCCGCUCUCCAUCCGCGGUCGUCCCGGUAGUGGAUCCGGAGAGUUCUCUCGGUCAGAGUCCGGAAGCGGUUUACCAUCACCUCCUUCCGCGCGGUAAACUCAAGUCUCCGUCCUCGACUCUCUCCCGUGCCGCUGCUGCCCAGCAUGGGUGAGUUUUGACGGGAAGCGCUUAAUAAAUAUGACUGAUCAUUCUCUUGCUGCUCCACCAGGAGCGGCCAACAAGGGAUUCUUUCCUCCUCUAGACUGUAAGCUCACUGUGG
This 1454-nucleotide long non-coding RNA is filed under the name Ornithorhynchus anatinus (platypus). RNAcentral's name for it is "lncRNA (ENSOANG00000045686.1)". Lineage: Eukaryota; Metazoa; Chordata; Mammalia; Monotremata; Ornithorhynchidae. The record is from RNAcentral.